CCAGCGUGCUAAACAUUUUGAUCCCUUAGCUCUCGAGGUCAAAUUGUUCGACCUCAGAUGUCCAGCGAGGGGAGCCGUCACACGACUCGUACUCGACUCGGCCAAACACAAAGAGGAGAGAUUCAGGAAUCUGCAUUUGUGCGAUUGUGUGUAUUUAUGAAAGAGAAAGAGAGGGAGUGAGAGCGUGAGAGGCUGUUGUAUUAAGCCUUUGUUUUUCUCUCCACAGUCUUUCUUUGUUUUAAUGUCUUGAUGUCUUUUGACCUCCGCCACCCUCCCUCUUUCUCUCUUUUUCAACGACUUUCAGUCAUUUCUGGUUGACAAAAGCAGGAACAGUUUCCAUCUUUCCCUUUUGCGUCUCUCUCUCUAUCUUUAAGUUGGAGAGAACCAUGGGGAGAGACUUUCUCUCAGCUUUUCAUCCUUCUCAAUCCUUCACUUUCUCACUCCUCUGCUCUCUUUUAAUCUUUCUUCAUUUUUCCAUUUUCACAUCUUUCCUUUUCCCACUCUUUCAAUUUCUUCCUCAUACUCUAUAUCACUGUUUCAUACUUCACUCCCUCCCUCUCCUCCAUCAUCUAUCUCCUGUUUCUAUUCAUUCCUCUUCUUUUCCCCCUCCUUCCGUUGGUAGUAAUCAUCCCUCACCUUUUUCCCCAUUUAAAGUUACACUUUCUGUCGUCUGUAGUUUUAAUUAAUCACACGACUCGUUAGCAAACUCUCCCCCUCGACUGUUAAUUAAUCAGGUUUCUGGCUUAAUGAACAGUCUAAACUCGUUAAACCUGUUUCGCUCUUAAUUAGACCGUUAGCUCGGGGGUCUAACACUCCGACAAGACUAUUAUCCACUACUACGCCUUAAUGGCAGCCGCCGUGAGUGUGUGCGUGAGCGUGUGUGUUAAGAUUACCUCACUCUCUAAUGGGGCUACUCAAAUAUUUAUAGGGCAGGAAGCUGAAUGGGAAGAAUGAUAGCGCUCAGGGAGACAGCAGACACUGAGGGAGUACAUGAGAAGACUGAUGCUGCCUUCAAGUGCUCCACGUAAGUUCCAACUUCCGGCCUCGGAAGUUGUAAAGAUAUGAAAAGCCUGAAGGGUCACAACACACCUCUCCUCCUUCAAAUGUAAUGUGGACAUCAGGUUGGAUUGGUGAAUGUUUCUAAAUUAACGAUGGCGGUUAUUAGGACCAACAUCACCCCACUGUUGGCUCACAGAAAUAUAUUUGCAUGGCCGUUAUUUGCCCACAUAUAUCAAUAAAACAUAGCAAACAUGCGUGGCACAAUUCUGCUACAGCAAUAAAAAAAAUCAACAAGGGUAAUGGUUUACUCUGUUGGACUGAUACUCGUGUUUACGAAGUUAUCUGCUGACCACAAAGGUGUUAACAUAGCUGUGUACUGUGUGAACAGAGUGUCCAGUUAGUUGUCCCAUGAUGUCUAAUAGAAACUUAUAAAGGCCUUUUGUAUGUUAUACCAAAG
Astatotilapia calliptera (eastern happy) is the source of this 1456-nucleotide long non-coding RNA. Lineage: Eukaryota; Metazoa; Chordata; Actinopteri; Cichliformes; Cichlidae. The record is from Ensembl.